GCCUCGAUAGCUCAGUUGGGAGAGCGUCAGACUGAAGAUCUGAAGGUCCCCGUUCGAUCCCGGGUCGCGGCA
Phytophthora infestans T30-4 is the source of this 72-nucleotide transfer RNA. It matches the Rfam family "tRNA". Rfam says of the family: Transfer RNA (tRNA) molecules are approximately 80 nucleotides in length. Their secondary structure includes four short double-helical elements and three loops (D, anti-codon, and T loops). The record is from Rfam. Lineage: Eukaryota; Oomycota; Peronosporomycetes; Peronosporales; Peronosporaceae.